GCGGCGGACGGGUGAGUAACGCGUGGGUAGCCUGCCCUGUACGCACGGGAUAACUUACCGAAAGGUAUACUAAUACGGGAGAACAUACGAAAGUCAUAUGGCUUUUGUGUCAGAGCUCCUUCGGUACUGGAUUGACCCGCGUCUGAUUAACUAUGUGGUAACGGGAUGGCUUACCAAGGCAACGAUCAGUAGCCGACCUGAGAGGGUGAUCGGCCACACUGGAACUGAGACACGGUCCAGACUCCUACGGGAGGCAGCAGUGGGGAAUAUUGCACAAUGGGCGAAAUCCUGAUGCUGCAACGCCGCGUGAGCGAUGAAGGCCUUCGGGUCGAAAAGCUCUGUCCUCAAGGAAGAUAAUGACGGUACUUGAGGAGGAAGCCCCGGCUAACUACGUGCCGGCAGCCGGGGUAGUGCGGGGGGGGCUAGGGGUGUCGGGAAUUACUGGGCGUAAGGGUGCGUAGGGGGUUUUUUAAGUCAGAAGUGGGAGGCUAGGGGUCAGCCGUAGU
RNAcentral lists this ribosomal RNA (506 nucleotides) under Paraclostridium sp. RNAcentral's name for it is "bacterial SSU rRNA". It matches the Rfam family "Bacterial small subunit ribosomal RNA", at positions 95 to 619 of the family's 1533-position model. Lineage: Bacteria; Bacillati; Bacillota; Clostridia; Peptostreptococcales; Peptostreptococcaceae. The record is from RNAcentral.